This 253-nucleotide ribosomal RNA is filed under the name uncultured bacterium. RNAcentral describes it as "partial 16S ribosomal RNA". It matches the Rfam family "Bacterial small subunit ribosomal RNA", at positions 524 to 776 of the family's 1533-position model. The record is from RNAcentral.
UACGAAGGGGGCUAGCGUUGUUCGGAAUUACUGGGCGCAAAGCGCACGUAGGCGGACUUUUAAGUCAGGUGUGAAAUCCCGGGGCUCAGCCUCGGAACUGCAUUUGAAACUGGGAGUCUUGAGACCAGGAGAGGUUAGCGGAAUACCGAGUGUAGAGGUGAAAUUCGUAGAUAUUCGGUGGAACACCAGUGGCGAAGGCGGCUAACUGGACUGGUACUGACGCUGAGGUGCGAAAGUGUGGGGAGCAAACAGG